Molecule: long non-coding RNA, 227 nt
Organism: Varanus komodoensis (Komodo dragon)
Lineage: Eukaryota; Metazoa; Chordata; Lepidosauria; Squamata; Varanidae
Exons: 2
Source: RefSeq, a predicted model, not a curated record
CUGCCUUCUUUCUUUGUUUCCCUUUUUUCCUUUGAAGGAUAUAAGUGAAAGAGAAGAGUCAUACUAAAACCAAUAGAAUUAGAGGAAAGAAGAAUCAUACCAGCAUAUGCUUUGGAUGAGGCAGGACAAAACUGUUCCAACUAAUCUGCUUCCCUCCAGCCAUGGAUGCUUCUUUUUCAAAUCAGGUGCUGCUUUGAUGUAAUUAAAAAGUUGUUGGAUAAAAUCAA